Molecule: long non-coding RNA, 212 nt
Filed under: Medicago truncatula (barrel medic)
Lineage: Eukaryota; Viridiplantae; Streptophyta; Magnoliopsida; Fabales; Fabaceae
Description: long non-coding RNA (MTRU_LNC003852)
Source: RNAcentral
CAUUGACCCGGUCCGGUUCACCAAACCGGCCGAGUCACCGAUUUUGACCGGUUUUGGCCGAGUCACACCGGUUCUCACCGGGUUGAAUGCAUGUCCGAUCCAUCAUGUAGCUCGAACCGGCCACACCACCGAUUCACGGUCGGACCGGUUCGACCGGCCGGUCCGGUCCGGUUUUUAAAACUAUGCAUGUAUGUGUUCUAUACUUUGUGUCC